UUUUUUGGUUGGGUGCUCGAGUGGCGAACGGGUGAGUAUUACGUGAGUAACCUGCCCUCAACUGUGGGAUAAGCCUGGGAAACUGGGUCUAAUACUGCAUAUUCUUCUUUCACCGCAUGGUGGGGGUUGGAAAGUUUUUUCGGUUGGGGAUGGGCUCGCGGCCUAUCAGCUUGUUGGUGGGGUGAUGGCCUACCAAGGCGGUGACGGGUAGCCGGCCUGAGAGGGUGGUCGGCCACAUUGGGACUGAGAUACGGCCCAGACUCCUACGGGAGGCAGCAGUGGGGGAUAUUGCACAAUGGGCGCAAGCCUGAUGCAGCGACGCCGCGUGAGGGAUGAAGGCUUUCGGGUUGUAAACCUCUUUCGGUACAGAACAAGGCACGUUUUUUGCGUGUGGAGGGUAUGUGCAGAAGAAGCGCCGGCUAACUACGUGCCAGCAGCCGCGGUAAUACGUAGGGCGCGAGCGUUGUCCGGAAUUAUUGGGCGUAAAGGGCUCGUAGGCGGCUUGUUGCGCCUGCUGUGAAAACGCGGGGCUUAACUCCGCGCGUGCAGUGGGUACGGGCAGGCUUGAGUGUGGUAGGGGUGACUGGAAUUCCAGGUGUAGCGGUGGAAUGCGCAGAUAUCUGGAGGAACACCGAUGGCGAAGGCAGGUCACUGGGCCAUUACUGACGCUGAGGAGCGAAAGCGUGGGUAGCGAACAGGAUUAGAUACCCUGGUAGUCCACGCUGUAAACGUUGGGAACUAGGUGUGGGGCCCUUUUCCGGGGUUCUGCGCCGUAGCUAACGCAUUAAGUUCCCCGCCUGGGGAGUACGGCCGCAAGGCUAAAACUCAAAGGAAUUGACGGGGGCCCGCACAAGCGGCGGAGCAUGCGGAUUAAUUCGAUGCAACGCGAAGAACCUUACCAAGGCUUGACAUACACCGGGAGCAUGCAGAGAUGUGUGUGCCUUUUUGGCUGGUGUACAGGUGGUGCAUGGUUGUCGUCAGCUCGUGUCGUGAGAUGUUGGGUUAAGUCCCGCAACGAGCGCAACCCUUGUCUCGUGUUGCCAGCGCGUUAUGGUGGGGACUCACGAGAGACUGCCGGGGUUAACUCGGAGGAAGGUGGGGAUGACGUCAAAUCAUCAUGCCCCUUAUGUCUUGGGCUUCACGCAUGCUACAAUGGCCGGUACAGUGGGUUGCGAUACUGUGAGGUGGAGCGAAUCUCUGAAAGCCGGUCUCAGUUCGGAUCGGGGUCUG
This 1230-nucleotide ribosomal RNA is filed under the name Actinobaculum massiliense. RNAcentral's name for it is "bacterial SSU rRNA". It matches the Rfam family "Bacterial small subunit ribosomal RNA", at positions 75 to 1307 of the family's 1533-position model. Lineage: Bacteria; Bacillati; Actinomycetota; Actinomycetes; Actinomycetales; Actinomycetaceae. The record is from RNAcentral.